GGGUAAAAACUGAACGGGGCACCUUGGAGAAGUGAAAAAUUCGUCAUACUUUAUAAAAAAGUAACGAAUUGUAUUAAAAUUGAAUAAAGCUUUGUUUAUAUACCGAUAAUGACGGUAUAUAUAUUGUGUCUUGACCAAUUACGUGCCAGCAGUCGCGGUAAUACGUAAGAGACUAGUGUUAUUCAUCUUAAUUAGGUUUAAAGGGUACUUAGACGGUCAAUAUAUCAUAUAUGAUAGUACUUGACUAGAGUUUUAUAUAAGAAGGCAGUACUUGAGGUGGAGAGAUGAAAUUCAAUGAUACCAAAGGGACUCGGUAAAGGCGCAGGCAGCCUUUUAUGUAAUAACUGACGUUGAAGGACGAAGGCACAGAUCACAAAAAGGAAUAGUAUCCCCAGUAGUCUUUGCAGUCAAUGAUGAAUGCCAUAGGUUAGAUUUAAGAUUUUGAGUAUUUAUUCCUCAGUAAAGAAUAAGUUUCGAAACGAUAUUUAGUCUAUAAAUGAAAGUGUAAGCAUUUCACCUCAAGAGUAAUGUGGCAACGCAGGAACUGAAAUCACUAGACCGUUUCUGACACCAGUAGUGAAGUAUGUUAUUUAAUUCGAUGAUCCGCA
This 608-nucleotide ribosomal RNA is filed under the name Simplicillium lanosoniveum. Its description in RNAcentral is "SSU rRNA". It matches the Rfam family "Bacterial small subunit ribosomal RNA", at positions 373 to 963 of the family's 1533-position model. The record is from RNAcentral. Lineage: Eukaryota; Fungi; Ascomycota; Sordariomycetes; Hypocreales; Cordycipitaceae.